Molecule: ribosomal RNA, 418 nt
Filed under: uncultured bacterium
Lineage: Bacteria
Description: bacterial SSU rRNA
Rfam family: Bacterial small subunit ribosomal RNA
Source: RNAcentral
ACGCGAAGAACUCUUACCAGGGUUUGACAUGCACGUGCACCAGCCAGAGAUGGUUGUCCCUUCGGGGCGCGUGCACAGGUGCUGCAUGGCUGUCGUCAGCUCGUGCCGUGAGGUGUUGGGCUAAGUCCCGCAACGAGCGCAACCCCUGUGGUCGGUUAGGAUGUCCGACGAGACUGCCACGCUAAACGUGGAGGAAGGUGGGGAUGACGUCAAGUCAGCACGGCCCUUAUGUCCUGGGCGACACACACGCUACAAUGGGCGAGACAACGGGUAGCCAACCCGCGAGGGGGAGCCAAUCCCAGCAAACUCGCUCUCAGUUCGGAUGGCAGGCUGCAACCCGCCUGCCUGAAGCCGGAGUUGCUAGUAACCGUGGGUCAGCACACCACGGUGAAUACGUUCCCGGGUCUUGUACACACCG